Molecule: small nuclear RNA, 106 nt
Filed under: Mus caroli (Ryukyu mouse)
Lineage: Eukaryota; Metazoa; Chordata; Mammalia; Rodentia; Muridae
Source: RNAcentral
UGCUUACUUCAGAAGCAUGCCGUCUGAACUGGAGCCAUAGAGGGCAGAUUAGCAUGGCCCCUACACAAGGAUGAUAUGCAAAUGCAUGAAAGCACCCCAAGUCCUU